GGCGCCAUGGCUUAGUUUGGCAAAGCGCCUGUCUAGUAAACAGGAGAUCCCCGGUCGAAUCCGGGUGGUGCCU
Molecule: transfer RNA, 73 nt
Filed under: Priapulus caudatus
Lineage: Eukaryota; Metazoa; Priapulida; Priapulimorpha; Priapulimorphida; Priapulidae
Description: tRNA-Thr
Rfam family: tRNA
About the family: Transfer RNA (tRNA) molecules are approximately 80 nucleotides in length.
Source: RNAcentral